GUGCCAGCAGCCGCGGUAAUACGGAGGUGGCAAGCGUUGUUCGGAAUUACUGGGCGUAAAGGGCGCGUAGGCGGCAAAACAAGUCAGAUGUGAAAGCCCCGGGCUUAACCCGGGAAUUGCAUCUGAAACUGAUUUGCUUGAGUUCUGGAGGGGGUAGUGGAAUUCCCAGUGUAGCGGUGAAAUGCGUAGAUAUUGGGAGGAACACCUGCGGCGAAGGCGGCUACCUGGACAGUAACUGACGCUGAGGCGCGAAAGCUAGGGGAGCGAACAGGAUUAGAUACCCCCGUAGUCC
RNAcentral lists this ribosomal RNA (292 nucleotides) under uncultured bacterium. RNAcentral describes it as "partial 16S ribosomal RNA". It matches the Rfam family "Bacterial small subunit ribosomal RNA", at positions 505 to 796 of the family's 1533-position model. The record is from RNAcentral.